AUCUGAUCAAUUGUCAACACUUGUGUGUAAUUCUUGUUUAUUUCUUGAUUACAUUUUUGAUCCUGGACGUCGCUGGCGACAUUCUAUAGCAAAUGAUUCGGUUUUGUUUCUCAAUGUCAGUUCUACUCUUGCUAGAUUUGAUUCGCGUAUUUUAGAAAUAUUUACUGAAGGCUUGAAGAAACACAAUGUUCUCCACUUACCACAUAUUGUAAAGAGCUCAC
Long non-coding RNA from Corticium candelabrum, 221 nucleotides. RefSeq lists it as uncharacterized. The record is from RefSeq and is a predicted model, not a curated record. The transcript is spliced from 3 exons. Lineage: Eukaryota; Metazoa; Porifera; Homoscleromorpha; Homosclerophorida; Plakinidae.